AGAACUUUGAAGAGAGAGUUCAAGAGUACGUGAAACCGUUCAGGGGUAAACCUGAGAAACCCAAAAGAUCGAAUGGGGAGAUUCAGCGUUCAACGACGUCUGGCUUACGUGCGAUGAGCGAUGUCGUGGUUAUUUCGGUAGCCACGAUACGCCGUUGCUGCGUCAUGACCGGCUUCGUCGGCGUGCACUUCUCCCCUAGUAGGACGUCGCGACCCGUUGGACGUCGGCCAAAGGCUCGAAUGGUAGACUGUCGUGCUCCUGGCGUGGCAGACCUUCGAACGCCCGGCCGACUGUUCGGCGGUAAUUUAUUUUUAUAAACAUGGUACAGAGCCGCAUUCGAAUGCGUUCGGCUCGUUGGCAGGCUCGCCUCGCUCGGUUUUACGGACCUGGUGCCGUUACUGGGUGCUUGGUGUGGCCUUUCUCGCCGACGAUGAUCUCGAACUGGCUCAGCGCGUGCGGGGGUUCGCUCUCGCGCGCGCGCUCACCUGUCGGCGACGCUUUUGCUUUGGGUACUUUCAGGACCCGUCUUG
This 530-nucleotide ribosomal RNA is filed under the name Encyrtidae sp. RNAcentral's name for it is "partial large subunit ribosomal RNA". Lineage: Eukaryota; Metazoa; Arthropoda; Insecta; Hymenoptera; Encyrtidae. The record is from RNAcentral.